CACGUAGGGCGCAAGCGUUGUCCGGAAUUAUUGGGCGUAAAGAGCUCGUAGGCGGUCUGUUGCGUCCGCUGUGAAAACUCGGGGCUUAACCCCGAGCCUGCAGUGGAUACGGGCAGACUAGAGGUAGGUAGGGGAGAAUGGAAUUCCCGGUGUAGCGGUGAAAUGCGCAGAUAUCGGGAGGAACACCGGUGGCGAAAGCGGCUCACUGGACCACAACUGACGCUGAGGCGCGAAAGCUAGGGGAGCAAACAGG
This 253-nucleotide ribosomal RNA is filed under the name uncultured bacterium. RNAcentral describes it as "partial 16S ribosomal RNA". It matches the Rfam family "Bacterial small subunit ribosomal RNA", at positions 524 to 776 of the family's 1533-position model. The record is from RNAcentral.